AUGCUCCUUUGUAGGAUGUGGCAUGAAUUCAGUUGCCUCAUCAUUCUAAUCAAAAAGUUGUUUUAUUUUUAUCUUUUGAAGGAUCAUCACUGCAGGUCAAAGCCCCAGAUGGAGAAUGUCCUCAUAGUCUGCCUUAUCUGCAAUGGAAGCGUCCUUAUGACAUGCUCACUCCAAAUAAUUUGCCUGAGCUUUCAUUUUCCCUUCUUUGGCUACUAUUUGCACACGAUGGCUUCUCAACCCAGAAAAUGAAAAGCUGUGGAUUCCUUCCAGACUAAAAUGGUUUGAUCAAGCAAGACCCUCUGAAGCAGGGGCCCAACUAAUCCUGCAUCCAAAGCAGCUGAGAUGAUGCAGCCAUAGAUGACUACAGCCAGAUUUCUGUAUUUUAUCAUGAUCACCAUGAUAUGGACAUCGCCCCUCACUAGGAAGAAGUUUGGAAUGAACAAUGCCCAAAUUCCCAAAUAUUGUUUAUAAAUGUUUGUUUUCAUUGAAAUAGGGUUGGUUAUAAAUAGUAAUGAUCACAUUCAAUCUCUUUUUAAAGGGAAAAAUGGGGAAUAGGAUAUGGAGAUAAAUACUUUACAUUGUUAUCCAUUUUUAUCUAUU
RNAcentral lists this long non-coding RNA (600 nucleotides) under Cricetulus griseus (Chinese hamster). Its description in RNAcentral is "lncRNA (ENSCGRG00000024676.1)". Lineage: Eukaryota; Metazoa; Chordata; Mammalia; Rodentia; Cricetidae. The record is from RNAcentral.